UGGUCUUUGUGGUGCACAUCAGGCGA
RNAcentral lists this non-coding RNA (26 nucleotides) under Mus musculus (house mouse). Lineage: Eukaryota; Metazoa; Chordata; Mammalia; Rodentia; Muridae. The record is from RNAcentral.